RNAcentral lists this ribosomal RNA (330 nucleotides) under uncultured Chloroflexota bacterium. RNAcentral's name for it is "bacterial SSU rRNA". It matches the Rfam family "Bacterial small subunit ribosomal RNA", at positions 28 to 351 of the family's 1533-position model. The record is from RNAcentral. Lineage: Bacteria; Bacillati; Chloroflexota.
GAUGAACGCUGGCGGCGUGCUUAAUACAUGCAAGUCGAACGAAGAGCUUUUGUAGCAAUACUGAGGCUUCUUAGUGGCGAACGGGUGCGUAACGCGUUGGUGACCUGCCCCGAAGUGUGGGAUAACAGUUCGAAAGGACUGCUAAUACCGCAUGUGAUCAUCAGUUUUAGAAUCUGAUGAUUAAAGCAGUAAUGCGCUUUGGGAGGGACCUGCGUCCCAUCAGCUAGUUGGUGAGGUAAUGGCCCACCAAGGCUACGACGGGUAGGGGACCUGAGAGGGUGGUCCCCCACACUGGAAUUGAGAUACGGUCCAGACUCCUACGGGUGGCUG